CGUUCAGCACUUCCCAUGUGGCACAUGCACAUCUUCCUUCCUUCUCCACUUCCCCUCACAGAUGCUUGCGUGGGCCUGCUACCCACCACACAUCACAAGAGGUGCUGGUGAUGGGGAGAUGAGUAACUGGCCUGCUUCUUGUUCUCCUGUAGCUCACAUUUCCAUGUUAGGACAGACAAUAAUUAACAAAGGAUGUGAAGAAUGCUACGGGAAUACUGAUUCCAGGAAGCAAUUAAUUUGGCCAGGGUGUAGGAGGGUGGAAGAGUGAAUAGUGGGAACUAUUCACUAUUAACUAUGAGUGAAUAGUCCUAAGGAAGGCUUGGGACUCAUCACUCCUUUGACAAUUAUAAUACAAGCUGAAUAUCUCUAGUCCAAAAACCCAAAACUACUUUCUGAGCAACGACAUGAUGCACAAAGGAAAGGCUCAUUAGAGCAUUUUGGACUUUUGGAUUAGGGACGCUGAACCACUGGGUAUAAUGAGAAUAUUUCAAAAUCCCAAACAAUCUGAAAUCUGAAACACUUCUGGUCCCAAGCAUUUCAGAUAAGGGAUAGUCAACCUCUAAUACUAAAGGUUCCAUUCUUUACAUUUCUACUAUAGACGCUUUUCAGAAAUGCUCAUCUGGCCUUGCUGGGGCUUAAAACCUUCCAAGGGCUUGCCCUGGCCUCAACUUCCAAUUCCCUGGAAUGGCUACAAAACCCUUCAGAACUGGAUUCCAGAAGAUUAUUUCAUACCAUCACUUCAAAUUCCUCAGGAGAGGAAGAUUAGCACAGAGACAUGAACAGAGGAAGGACCAAGUAGGGACAAGAAGAUGCCAUCUAUAAGCCAAAGAGAAGCCUCAGAAGAAGCCAACCCUGCUGACACCUUGUUCUUGGACUUCUAGCUUUCAGAACUGUGGGAAAAGAAAUCUGUUGAGUCAUCCAGUCUGCAGUACUUUGUUAUAGCAGCCCAAGCAAAUGAAUAUACCUUCCUUGACUACUUCAUCUUAUAACGUGCAAAUACCUCAACUUCAGCACCAUUUACAUGUUUAUUCACUGCCUUUAUUGUUAGUCAUUUGUGUCUCCCCAAGAGGACUGAAAGCUAUUUAAAGACUGAUAAUCUAUUUAAUAUCUUUUGGCAUUAUCAAUGCUCAACAUGUUAUCUUCCACAACAAUAAAGAUUUGACUUUUCUGUACUCUUCACUCCAAUUAAAUGCACGAGUGAAAAUUAUGGCUGUUAGUUGUUUUGCUGAAGUAAAGCGUAUUACAUCACUGCCCUGCUUUGGAGUACUGUACUGAUUUUUCUAUUCCUAAAGAAAAUCCAAACUACAGACUGGCAUACAAGACUUUUCAUACUCUGGUUACAAUUCAUCUCUCCACCCUUAUUGGACACUACUUACCAUCUACUCUACAAACUUGCAUAUCCAGCCUCUGCCACCCAAAAUCUCUCUCUUCCCUCUCCUUUACUUGGCUAACUUCUUUCGAAAGAUCCAGUUGAAAUGUCACCGACUCUACAAAGCUUUUGUAAUUUGCCCCUAGCCAGCAGCUCAGUCAUCUAAACUACCACAAUACUUCAUCUCUCUGUAAUAACACCACAACUUCUUCAAUUAAUCUUCUUUUACAUGUGUCUCCCCCAAGGGACUCCCUAAAGAAAGAACCCUUGUUUGCAUGCACGUAUCCCUGAUGCCCAGCACAAGGCCUGGCAAGCUAGGUACAGGGCAAAGAGAGAAAUCAUCAAACUUGAGGCUCAAGACCUGGACUGGCUCACCUUUAUUUCUCCAGCAUCCGUUACAGAGCCCCAAAACGUGGC
This 1786-nucleotide long non-coding RNA is filed under the name Homo sapiens (human). Its description in RNAcentral is "HSALNT0273988". The record is from RNAcentral. Lineage: Eukaryota; Metazoa; Chordata; Mammalia; Primates; Hominidae.